GGAAAUCUCACCAGGCCCGGACACUGGAAGGAUUGACAGAUUGAUAGCUCUUUCUCGAUUCGGUGGGUGGUGGUGCAUGGCCGUUCUUAGUUGGUGGAGCGAUCUGUCUGGUUAAUUCCGAUAACGAACGAGACCCCAACCUGCUAACUAGCCCUCGGGUCCUGCUUCUGUUGGGCCCGACGGAAUGAUUCGCUUCUUAGAGGGACUCGCGGCGCCUAGCCGCACGAAGGGGGGCAAUAA
RNAcentral lists this ribosomal RNA (240 nucleotides) under uncultured eukaryote. RNAcentral describes it as "partial 18S ribosomal RNA". It matches the Rfam family "Eukaryotic small subunit ribosomal RNA", at positions 1208 to 1456 of the family's 1831-position model. The record is from RNAcentral.